GAAGAAGGUCUUCGGAUUGUAAAGUUCUUUUAUUGGAGAAGAAAGUAUGUAAUAGGAAAUGAUUAUAUAUUGACGGUAUCCAUUGAAUAAGCCCCGGCUAACUACGUGCCAGCAGCCGCGGUAAUACGUAGGGGGCGAGCGUUAUCCGGAAUUAUUGGGCGUAAAGCGUGCGUAGGCGGUUUGUUAAGUCACUUGUAAAAGAUCUCAGCCCAACUGAGUAGGGCGAGUGAAACUGGCAGACUUGAAUACGGUAGAGGUAAGUGGAAUUCCAUGUGUAGCGGUGGAAUGCGUAGAUAUAUGGAGGAACACCAAUGGCGAAGGCAACUUACUGGGCCGGAAUUGACGCUGAGGCACGAAAGCGUGGGGAGCAAACAGGAUUAGAUACCCUGGUAGUCCACGCCGUAAACGAUGAGAACUAAGUGUUGGAGUAAAAUUCAGUGCUGAAGUUAACGCAAUAAGUUCUCCGCCUGGGUAGUACGAUCGCAAGAUUGAAACUCAAAGGAAUUGACGGGUUCCCGCACAAGCGGUGGAGUAUGUUGUUUAAUUCGAAGAUACGCGAAGAACCUUACCAGGUCUUGACAUACCAUUGACAGGAGUAGAGAUACUUUUUUCCUUCGGGACAAUGGAUACAGGUGGUGCAUGGUUGUCGUCAGCUCGUGCCGUGAGGUGUUGGGUUAAGUCCCGCAACGAGCGCAACCCU
This 700-nucleotide ribosomal RNA is filed under the name uncultured bacterium. Its description in RNAcentral is "bacterial SSU rRNA". It matches the Rfam family "Bacterial small subunit ribosomal RNA", at positions 407 to 1105 of the family's 1533-position model. The record is from RNAcentral.